This 473-nucleotide long non-coding RNA is filed under the name Dromaius novaehollandiae (emu). RNAcentral describes it as "lncRNA (ENSDNVG00000008140.1)". The record is from RNAcentral. Lineage: Eukaryota; Metazoa; Chordata; Aves; Casuariiformes; Dromaiidae.
UUUCACUCAGUGUUGAAUAAAUAACUUUUUUUUUUUUCCCCCAGGAGAGAGAUGCUAUUUUAGAAGUCUUUCUAAUGUUUUUCUGUAUGCUGUAAUGGCAACACUUGCUGUUUGGUGGUAAUUUGCAUCAGAUUCCCAGUGGAAAAUGUUGAGAUCUGAGUGAACCUUCUGGCCCUGAGCUAUACGUUUUAUCAGCUUGUACAGGCUUCAAAGAGAACCAGCAUCUCUAUUCUGUGCAGCACCCAGCCUGCUCUCUUUGCUCCAACAGUAAGAAUACCAAACAAGGAAUGCUGCAAUUGAUCCUAGGCAAUAGAAAGUACUUGAAUAUUAAACAAGAAAUAAAUAGGGAUGCAACAAAACUAGCAAUGAAAAGAAGGUGAAGGAGGUCAUGGGAGAGAAAGAUGCUGUGGAAAGUUGAGAUACCUGUGGUAGGUCAGAAGGCUGGUGUUUUGGGUGUGUUUUCUUUGUAGGUC